CAGUCGCCACGGUAAUACGAAGGUCCCGAGCGUUGUUCGGAAUCACUGGGCGUAAAGGGAGCGUAGGCGGCGUGGUAAGUCAGAUGUGAAAUCCCGGGGCUCAACCCCGGAACUGCAUCCGAUACUGCCGUGCUAGAGGAUUGGAGAGGUAGCUGGAAUUCUUGGUGUAGCAGUGAAAUGCGUGGAGAUCAAGAGGAACACUCGUGGCGAAAGCGAGCUACUGGACAAUAUCUGACGCUGAGGCUCGAAGGCCAGGGUAGCGAAAGGGAUUAGAUACCCCGGUAGUCCCUGUCUCUUAUAC
RNAcentral lists this ribosomal RNA (301 nucleotides) under uncultured bacterium. RNAcentral describes it as "partial 16S ribosomal RNA". It matches the Rfam family "Bacterial small subunit ribosomal RNA", at positions 509 to 807 of the family's 1533-position model. The record is from RNAcentral.